Molecule: non-coding RNA, 45 nt
Filed under: Schistosoma margrebowiei
Lineage: Eukaryota; Metazoa; Platyhelminthes; Trematoda; Strigeidida; Schistosomatidae
Source: RNAcentral
AUUCAGCUGACGAGUCUUGAAUAGGACGAAACGAGCAUCCUGUAU